This 1772-nucleotide long non-coding RNA is filed under the name Marmota monax (woodchuck). Lineage: Eukaryota; Metazoa; Chordata; Mammalia; Rodentia; Sciuridae. The record is from RNAcentral.
GGUGUCCUUUAUUUCCCAGUAGCAUCUGACAACAGGGCAGGACACAGCAGGCUGAGUAUCCUUCGUUUUAGGAGAAUUGGUAGCUGUGGCUUCAGGUUUAGUGGGAGACCAACCUUGCAUAUGACUGAGUUAACUCCCCUGCUAAGUGAUAUGGUGUCAGGCACCCAUGCUGCUAGACUGCCCCGCUCUUCUAGGGUUCAAGUGACUGUCUUUGUGCCUGGGCAUGUCUUCCUACAGCCUCAUGGUUGGAGCUAUGCUCACCUGUUCCUUUAUAAUAUUCCCCCUUGCCCUGUUUAGGAUAGAAUGUUCCAUGGAAGUGCCUUGUGUGUGUCCCCUUUUUUUUACUGUGCCCUUGGGUGUGGCCUACAUAGAAGUCAUUUAACCUGCUGACAGCGGACAUCAUAAAGAUAGACUUAGCCCCCUGAAACCAUACCCCUUGCCUCAUUUGAAUAGCUUCUCCUCAAUAAAAGGGGUCAGCGCAUUCUCUCUCUCUCUCUCUCUCUCUCUCUCUCUCUCUCUCUCUCUCUACCUGUGGACCCUUAAGAUCAGGGGAGCCAUCAGAGUGACCCUAAAGAAAAAGGUAUUCGUGUCUCUUGUGUGGUUAUUUUGUGCAGUCCAGUUAUCUCAAUUUAUCUGGAGUGACCUUUGUGCAGCCCAGUUAUCUCAAUUUACCUGGAGUAACCUCUGAGUCUUUUAGUCGAGAACAGAAACCCGGUAGGGUUUCGUUAAUACUAAAUGUGACAAGUUCUGUGUCAGACUCCAAUCCCCAGUUUCAUCUCAGUCCAGGAGGGUCCUGGAACCUUUUAGGCCUUGCAGUGUCCUGACUUUGUUGAUAGAUUCCAUUCAUUAAAAUUAGGCAGCAAAGACAAAUGCCUCCUCCCUACAGCCAGCUCCUCUCCCUGAGCAAAUACUCUGCCUCAAAGGUUGUGAAGACCACCAUGUCCACAGCCAAUUUCAAUACUUGGUUUCUCCCUGAAACCAAUAACUGGGCCCACAACAUAUGGUGAACAUACCCCUCUAGAUAAAGAAUGUGUUUAUUUAGGUUCAUGCAGAAGCAAAAGAAGAAAGAACAGGAUAGAUGAGAAAAUCCCAUAGUGGACUUUGAUCCUGAGCAGAGCCUAUUCCACUAGCAUGACUCUCCAUGUAAGCCCACUGCUGUACCCAUAAAGCACCCCCUUCUAGACUCUGAACUUCCUUGAGUUUUCAGUUUGAAUUUAGAAGUAGCUCUUUUACCAAAGUUUCCUUCCUUGUCGUUUUAGUCACCUUUUCCAUCACAGUGACCAAAAGACCUGAGAAGAACAACAUAUAGGAGGGAAAGUUUAUUUUGGAUCCCAGUAUCAGAGGUUCAGUCUGUGGUUGGCUGACCACAUAGCUCUGGGCUCAAGGUGAGGCAGAACAUCAUGGCCAAAGAGCAUGACAGAGGAAAGCAGCUUAGGACAUGGCAACAAAGAAGCAGAGAAGAAAGCUCCACUCACCAGGGACAAAAUGUAAACCCCAAAGACAUGCCCCCAGUGACCUCUGUCUUCCAGCAACACCAUACUUGCUUUUAGUGACCACCUAGUUAAUUCAUUUCACUCUGGUGGUUCUUGCAUUGUCUUAUACAUGAGCUUUUGGGGGAAACCUCAUGUCUAAACCAUGACACUUGUAUUUUCCAUAUUCCUCAUACCAUCUUUUAAAAUAUGUUUUGAAAAGCUGGUCCCAGCAAUUGAAUGAAAGAAGUGAUGGCUUCAAAGAAUGUUAUUUCCAAUAGAAUAUUACAAACCUCACUGUCU